GACAGAGGGUGCAAACGUUGUUCGGAAUUACUGGGCGUAAAGCGUGUGUAGGCGGUCCGAAAAGUCGGAUGUGAAAGCCCGGGGCUCAACCCCGGAAGUGCACUCGAUACUGUCGGACUUGAGUAUCGGAGAGGUUGGUGGAAUUCUCGGUGUAGAGGUGAAAUUCGUAGAUAUCGAGAGGAACACCGGUGGCGAAGGCGGCCAACUGGACGAAUACUGACGCUGAGACACGAAAGCGUGGGGAGCAAAC
Molecule: ribosomal RNA, 250 nt
Filed under: uncultured bacterium
Lineage: Bacteria
Description: partial 16S ribosomal RNA
Rfam family: Bacterial small subunit ribosomal RNA
Source: RNAcentral